RNAcentral lists this ribosomal RNA (497 nucleotides) under uncultured bacterium. RNAcentral describes it as "partial 16S ribosomal RNA". It matches the Rfam family "Bacterial small subunit ribosomal RNA", at positions 28 to 507 of the family's 1533-position model. The record is from RNAcentral.
GAUGAACGCUGGCGGCGUGCCUAAUACAUGCAAGUCGAGCGAACAGACGAGGAACUUGCUCCUCUGACGUUAGCGGCGGACGGGUGAGUAACACGUGGAUAACCUACCUAUAAGACUGGGAUAACUUCGGGAAACCGGAGCUAAUACCGGAUAAUAUAUUGAACCGCAUGGUUCAAUAGUGAAAGACGGUUUUGCUGUCACUUAUAGAUGGAUCCGCGCCGCAUUAGCUAGUUGGUAAGGUAACGGCUUACCAAGGCAACGAUGCGUAGCCGACCUGAGAGGGUGAUCGGCCACACUGGAACUGAGACACGGUCCAGACUCCUACGGGAGGCAGCAGUAGGGAAUCUUCCGCAAUGGGCGAAAGCCUGACGGAGCAACGCCGCGUGAGUGCUGAAGGUCUUCGGAUCGUAAAACUCUGUUAUUAGGGAAGAACAAAUGUGUAAGUAACUAUGCACGUCUUGACGGUACCUAAUCAGAAAGCCACGGCUAACUACGUG